This 943-nucleotide long non-coding RNA is filed under the name Monodelphis domestica (gray short-tailed opossum). Its description in RNAcentral is "lncRNA (ENSMODG00000042287.1)". Lineage: Eukaryota; Metazoa; Chordata; Mammalia; Didelphimorphia; Didelphidae. The record is from RNAcentral.
ACUUUCAUUCCAUGAACUAUUGAGAUACUGGACUAAAUUUAGACAAUGCUUCCUGUUUCCUGAUGGGGUCUUACCUCAUUUGUGAGAUUCUCGAGAGCAGAGACUGUCUGUUUGCAUUUCUUUGUUAGCCCCAGCAUCUAGCCCAGUGCCCGGUACACAGUAGGCACUUAAUGUUUAUUGAAUGAUUGACUAAACGCUCCUUUGUGAAAACGAAAACUUAUUUGGCGCAUCCAGCUAGCAGAAGAGAAAAAGCUCCAUCAAAUGGCACACACACACAAUUCCACAAGCAUCCAUAACUCCCACCUCUUUGAUAAAAGAAGAGAAGAAGACUUUCAUCAUUUGUUCUCCUGGACUAAAAUUGUUUGAUGCAAUUAAUUUGUGCAGAGGGUUAUAUAAAAGACCACCAGAAACUAACAAUCACUGGGAAAAUGAGCUCUGCAGGGAAGCCAGCAUAAGAUCCGGUAAACACAACACAGGGCAAGUAGUGCCCUGCCCAGAGUUGCUCCAGGGCACCUGAAGCCUGUUCAGUACUUUGCCUCCCACCCCGGGAGUGGGGGCUCAGAGUAUUCUUAUGGGGAAGUUGUGAGGGAUACCUGAAGAGUACAGUGCUUUGACUAAAGUCAAAAGUCUGUCGACCACAGAGUGCUCUUGUUAGAUAUCUCCCAAAGGGUAAGAAACCAGCUACACUCUGAGCACAGGCAUACCAGGAAAGAAAGGCAUUGGCAGGAACCAGAAAAUCAAGGUCAGGACCAGACCUGAUGAUGCUAUCUAAGAACAUAGAAGGGAACGAAGUCUGAUCUUGACAGAAAGUCUCAAAUUAGGAACCAAAGCUGGAGAAAUGAGCAAACAGAAGACACCAAAUACUAUGAAGAAAUAAGAUGGGCCAAAAUUUGUCCAAGAGGUAAAUUCUUAAGAAAAAAAUAAAAUCUUCAGAAUAAAUACA